RNAcentral lists this ribosomal RNA (429 nucleotides) under Actinomycetes bacterium. RNAcentral's name for it is "Actinobacteria bacterium partial 16S ribosomal RNA". It matches the Rfam family "Bacterial small subunit ribosomal RNA", at positions 355 to 776 of the family's 1533-position model. The record is from RNAcentral. Lineage: Bacteria; Bacillati; Actinomycetota; Actinomycetes.
UAGGGAAUCUUCCGCAAUGGGCGAAAGCUUGACGGAGCAACGCCGCGUGAGUGAUGAAGGUCUUCGGAUCGUAAAACUCUGUUAUUAGGGAAGAACAAAUGUGUAAGUAACUAUGCACGUCUUGACGGUACCUAAUCAGAAAGCCACGGCUAACUACGUGCCAUCAGCCGCGGUAAUACGUAGGUGGCAAGCGUUAUCCGGAAUUAUUUGGCGUAAAGCGCGCGUAGGCGGUUUUUUAAGUCUGAUGUGAAAGCCCACGGCUAAACCGAGGAGGGUCAUUGGAAACUGGAAAACUUGAGUGCAGAAGAGGAAAGUGGAAUUCCAUGUGUAGCGGUGAAAUGCGCAGAGAUAUGGAGGAACACCAGUGGCGAAGGCGACUUUCUGGUCUGUAACUGACGCUGAUGUGCGAAAGCGUGGGGAUCAAACAGG